GAUGAACGCUGGCGGCGUGCUUAACACAUGCAAGUCGAACGAUUAACCCACCUUCGGGUGGUUAUAGAGUGGCGAACGGGUGAGUAACACGUGACCAACCUGCCCCAGACAUCGGGACAACCAUUGGAAACGAUGGCUAAUACCGAAUACUCUCUUCCUUCCACAUGGUAGGAAGAGGAAAGCUCAGGCGGUCUGGGAUGGGGUCGCGGCCCAUCAGGUAGUAGGCGGGGUAACGGCCCACCUAGCUUAUGACGGGUAGCCGGACUGAGAGGACGACCGGCCACAUUGGGACUGAGAUACGGCCCAGACUCCUACGGGAGGCAGCAGUGGGGAAUAUUGCGCAAUGGGGGCAACCCUGACGCAGCAACGCCGCGUGCGGGAUGAAGGCUUUCGGGUUGUAAACCGCUUUCAGCAGGGAUGACAUCGACAGUACCUGCAGAAGAAGCCCCGGCUAACUACGUGCCAGCAGCCGCCGUAAAAC
This 481-nucleotide ribosomal RNA is filed under the name uncultured bacterium. Its description in RNAcentral is "bacterial SSU rRNA". It matches the Rfam family "Bacterial small subunit ribosomal RNA", at positions 28 to 526 of the family's 1533-position model. The record is from RNAcentral.